Molecule: long non-coding RNA, 1646 nt
Organism: Heterocephalus glaber (naked mole-rat)
Lineage: Eukaryota; Metazoa; Chordata; Mammalia; Rodentia; Bathyergidae
Source: RefSeq, a predicted model, not a curated record
CGGCUCUUCCCGGCCUGAUAGGUUCGGCGGUCGAAAAGCUACAAUGUGGAUGCGGCCUGCACCCGCUGCGCCUGGAGUGUGAAGUUCAUUAGUAUUCCCGGUGCCCAGCACAGAAUGGGCGUAAUCCAGCAUUUACUCCUGGGCGAGGUCGAUGUCUGCCCACGAGAAGGGCGUCCCGCCGAAGACUAGCUGCCCGGAAGCCCCUCGUCGCUGUCCCAUCCUGUGGCACUGGACCGGCGUGAGGGCGGCUGCUUCUCCGGCUGCCUGGCGGCCUGCGCUGUGGGCGAUGAACGCCGGGUCCGCAGUGGGCUGAGCCCUCGGUGUCCUCAGCGCCCGGCUGGUAGAAGAGGGCACUUUUCUGCGGACGCUCUCGCUUCCUUGUUCAAAUCACUGACCUCGACUCGGAGCCUCCAUCUGUCUCUGUGUAGUCGGGGCAGAACCAGCAGUGCCUCCUUCGAAAGGCUCUGUGAGAAGACAUGUCAUGAGCAGUCUUGACCCACAUAGUGAAGACAAAGCUUCAAGCAAACAGCCUUAUGAAUGAGCCAUGUCAGAAGUAGAUCUUCCAGCUCCUUCGGGGAUCUACAUUCCUGACUGCAAACUUGACUGUAACCUCAUGAGGGACCCUAAGCUAAAGCCAAAACCUCGCAGUUUGUGACUUCAGCGCCUUUCCUAUCCUGUAUAUUCUGAGAUUUUUCUUCAGGGAUGCAACUUGGGUCAUUGCCUGGAUUUCUUCUCUUCUGGCCAUCCAUCCUACCAGCUCUCCCAGGCCUUCAAAAGGAGAUCAGUUGCAGGUGGAAGGACAAAACUGGUUGAAGCAAAAGUCCAACUUCAGCAUCUGGUAUACAGAUUUAGCUGCAUUAGUGCAAUUUUUAAAAAACCAAAUGUACAACCUAUAUCCCAAGACUUAUUAUGGAAUCCUUAAUUUAUCAACUUAGCUUUUGAUGGAUUUUUUUUCUUCUGUUGAAAUGUAUAAUACCUUCUCAUAGUUAAGCUGAAGAAUCUUUUCCAUUCAACUUCCUCCCUCUGGGAUGUAAUAAAGAGACAACUUUUGGCCCAACAGCAUAUUAGAGACAAAUUUUCUGUGAUAGAAAAAUAUUUUUUAUUACAUGUAAUGUUUCUCAAAGGAGGUAGGUCAAAACAUAGAUAUCAAUCCUCUGUAACCAUCUACUGAUACCAUAUUUGGCUGGAGGAUAUUAAAAUGUAGUAUGUUACUCUUGAAAGGUUGAGUAUUUUGUUAUGGCUGUUUUAAUUUCCAUAACAGCCAUGUGGAAAUUAGAAUAAAGAAGAAUUAUAAUUAUUUACCAUCUCUGCAUGCUCAAUUUCCCUUCAAAAGUGUUAAAGGGCUGAGCAGAGAGAAGCAGCAAUGUAGUAUAGGUCAAAGCAUGUCUCAUUUGUGGGGGUAUUGGAAAACUGGGACAUUUUGUCUAAAUUUGCCACUUCCUAGUGAGACUCUUUGGUCAGCCUUACUUUUCUAAGGUGUAAAAUGGGGACAAUAACAUUCUCAAGGAUGGUUGUGAGAAAUAAAUGAUAUAACAUGUGUAAAAUUCUUGGUCCUAGAAGGAAUUCAAUACCUGAUUAUUGAUGUUAUUCUUCAACAUGAUUAUAAGAGGCUUAAUAUCUUUUAUACUAUUUGAUUAUAUAUCUAA